Molecule: long non-coding RNA, 1158 nt
Organism: Chroicocephalus ridibundus (black-headed gull)
Lineage: Eukaryota; Metazoa; Chordata; Aves; Charadriiformes; Laridae
Exons: 3
Source: RefSeq, a predicted model, not a curated record
GCGGAGGCGGGUGCUGUGAGGGGCGGCGGCCUGUGGGCCGCGUUCAUGCCAUGGUGGGUGCUUCCCCCCGCUUGUUGCGAGGUCAUCAAAAACGUACCCCGUUUUGUUAUUAUACCUGUUUAUCUCACCGAAGAAAUCAGGCAGGUGCCAGCACUGGCGCAAGGGGAGGGGAACAUAUGGCUGGGAACAGAAGGAAGGUGGGAUUGUGGCAAGCGAUGACUUAAAUUGGUUUGCGGUGAAGCAUUGUGCUAUAGCUUGCAUCAGUCUUUCAGUUCUGCCGUGCCGACUUGAUCUAUGUCUGAUGGGCUAUGUAGAAAGAAAGCACAUCCAGCUUCAAAUGAAACCAUGAAGAGCAAGUCCUUGAAGUAAGGCCUUUGUGUCUCAAGACAAACAUCCAAAAAUAGCAGAUGUUUGAAAUGUUCAUGCUUAAAUUGCUCCACCUUUCUGUCCUUCAUCUAUAAGAUGAAGAUACUAAUAUUAACUUGCCUCAGGAAUUUUGUGAAGAAAAAGAUGCAUUUGUGAAGCACCCAUUACAGUAAGAACAACAUAAAAACCCAAGAGAAAAAUAACUAAAAUACAUUUCUACUCAGUGCUGGUUCUUAAUGGUAUAUACUAAAUAAAGCCCAAGGCUAUACAAUGAAUAAUGAGUAUUAUAAAAACUUUAACAAUUCAAUAAGCACCAUUUGUCUUGCAAGCAUCAUUCAUCUUCCGCACUGAAAAAGGUUAGGAGUCUUGUGAAAAAAUAAAGUAGUUCCACAAGUGCUGGAACUAAACUCUUCCAUGGAUUUGUGCUUAAAGUUGACUUAUUGUGAGCUCUGAUUCAAAGCUGUGGAAUUGGUAUGUGCUUUCGCUGUGUGCUUUCUAUGACUGAAGGAUGAAGUCAAGGAUAGUCUGGGGAUGCACGGGUAUAUUGUUUCUGCAUUGUAACCUGGACAACGCAGAGUUUGCUGACGUAGAUUGACCUGGAAUAAUGCCAAUGAAGAUACUUGGUUCUUAUUUACCACUCCAGGACUGAUGAAGACUUCAUGAUGCUAAACAGAGAUCUUGUUUUUUUUUUUUCCCAGGGACCUGUUGUUAUUCUGAUGUCCUUAUAACACUGACAAAGCUCCUUUCCUUUACUAUGACUCUGUAUUAAAGAGUUUCUUCUCUUUCAUCUGA